Molecule: unclassified non-coding RNA, 378 nt
Filed under: uncultured Gammaproteobacteria bacterium
Lineage: Bacteria; Pseudomonadati; Pseudomonadota; Gammaproteobacteria
Description: contains 16S-23S intergenic spacer region
Source: RNAcentral
UCCGGUUCAUCACCAGCAGUCUCCUUAGAGUCCCCACCAUGACGUGAUGGCAACUAAGGAUAAGGGUUGCGCUCGUUACGGGACUUAACCCAACAUCUCACAACACGAGCUGACGACAGCCAUGCAGCACCUGUCUCUAGGUUCCUUUCGGCACUCCCGCAUCUCUGCAGGAUUCCUAGGAUGUCAAGGGUAGGUAAGGUUCUUCGCGUUGCAUCGAAUUAAACCACAUGCUCCACCGCUUGUGCGGGCCCCCGUCAAUUUCUUUGAGUUUUAAUCUUGCGACCGUACUCCCCAGGCGGAAGACUUAUCGCGUUAGCUGCGAUACCGAUAGGACAAGCCCACCGACAUCUAGUCUUCAUCGUUUACAGCGUGGACUAC